UACGUAGGGUGCGAGCGUUAAUCGGAAUUACUGGGCGUAAAGCGUGCGCAGGCGGUUUUGUAAGUCUGUCGUGAAAUCCCCGGGCUCAACCUGGGAAUUGCGAUGGAGACUGCAAGGCUAGAAUGUGGCAGAGGGGGGUAGAAUUCCACGUGUAGCAGUGAAAUGCGUAGAGAUGUGGAGGAACACCGAUGGCGAAGGCAGCCCCCUGGGAUAACACUGACGCUCAUGCACGAAAGCGUGGGGAGCAAACAGG
Molecule: ribosomal RNA, 253 nt
Filed under: uncultured bacterium
Lineage: Bacteria
Description: partial 16S ribosomal RNA
Rfam family: Bacterial small subunit ribosomal RNA
Source: RNAcentral